Passer domesticus (house sparrow) is the source of this 2096-nucleotide long non-coding RNA. RefSeq lists it as uncharacterized. The record is from RefSeq and is a predicted model, not a curated record. The transcript is spliced from 3 exons. NCBI's taxonomy places the organism in Eukaryota, Metazoa, Chordata, Aves, Passeriformes, Passeridae.
GAGCCCGCGGGACGGCGACGGAGGGGAGGGGAAGCGCCGGGGGCCGCGUUUUGUUUGCUUUUCUGAUGCGUAGUUUUGGCUGUUUUCUCCACUUGCUGCCCCCCGGAAGGAGAGGGGCGUGUGCCCGGCUUCAGAGUUUGGCUUAAAAUGUGCUUGUGGCCUAAGUGAAAGGAAGGGGACAUCUUUGGAUGUAUGCACGAAGUCCAGUUAAGCAUGGAUCUGCUGGCUUGAGCUUGGCAAGAAGUCAAUGGAAACAGCACAUUUUGUUCCUUAAACCUCAGCAGUGGAGUGGUCAUUGCAAAGUUGCCUUGGACCAGCCUUAGUGUGAGCAAUGCUGGAUUGCCUUGAGUUGUGUAAUGAGUGACUGCCUUUAGCUGUGCUCCCUUAAACUCCCUGGGUUUGCUCAGGCUUGUUGGUCCUGGUGACGAAGUCUUUUCCUAGGAAAACUAUGGGCUUCUGAGCAACUUGGAUCACACCAGGCAAGUGCCUGCCUGUUCUCCCACUGGCUUCCUGCUGCUGAAACAAAAGCAAGGCCUUGCAUUGGUAAACUUCAAUGCUGGGUUUUCCCCUUGUGGAUUUGUGGAGUAUGAAGAUAUCUGCUGCUAAUGUUUAUGGUUUAAUGUGUUUUAGGUAAGCAAGUGCUGUAGCAAAGAGGCAGAGUUCAUGUUGAAGUUUUGAGCCAUCAUUUUCUUGCUCCUUUACACUAUUGGGCAGCUCUCUUGUCCUGACUUCCCACUCUUCAGAGCUCUGUGUGUUUUAUGAAUAAAUGCAUUUGUGUGUUGUGGUGCCUGCCUAAAGUAAGAUGAGCAGAAUUAGGCCUGGAAAGCCCUUUUCCUUCUGUAGCAUGAAGAUAACUUGACUUUGUUCUGAGCCAUAAUCUCAGCUGCUUUUGUGCACCAAGAACAGCAAUUCAGAGGGUCUUUUCUCCUCCAGCAGAGGACUUGCAGGCUGGGCAGGGAAAUAUGCAUGUGUCUGUUAGUAUGUAUAUAUGCAGGUGCAUAUGAAGAACCCAGAAAUUAGUUGCUUUUGUUUUCUGUAAUAAACUGAUGCAGUUGCUGGCUACAGUGUGAGAAUCUAAUGCUGCUUGGGCUCAGCUCAGUGUAUAUUGACUCCGGUAAAUUCUGUGGAGUCAGGAAUGGAGUUUGGAGUAUGUUGCCUUGCGAAAUCUGAUGUGAAGCUACUUAGAGUUUCAGCAGUCCUGGAUCCUAUUUGCAAUUCUAAUUGCAAAUAUAGCAGACUGGCUUCUGAAUAGGAACUUGUAUGAAAUGGGCACUAGUCUUCGCAGUGGUUCAGGAAUUUUGUAAUGCUGCUCCUACUGUACUGGAGCACCAUUUUAUUACAAAAAGUGCUGUGGCAUUAACAUAGGCCACAACAUUCUUGAAACUAGCUAAGCAGAAAAAAAUACUUGCUUUCCAAUCCACUAUUUUCCAAACUAGUUUGAAAAUAGCUGCAGUUUCUUGUAUAACUGCAAGCCCCCAUAGCACGAGUGUUAGGGGAGCGGUUUCAAAACUCUGAAAACCUGUUCUGUUGUGGUUAACACUAAUUCUGUAAUUGAGGGUUUAGAGUGAUGUUGAGCUUCACUUAUAGUUACUGUUUAUGGGUUUUUAUUUAUGGAGUACCAGCCAGUAAAAGGACAGAAACAGUUCAUUACUACUCAUAAUGUUCUCAAUUUCUUUCCCUGUGCUUUGCAACAUUGUAGAUCUGAUCUUGGCUUUCUUAGUUCAGUCUAAAACAGUAAAGAAGUAAAUUCUUAUGGAGUCAGAUUUUUAGCUAAAAGUUCAAGUGUUUAUGAAGAGAAGAUGAUGACUUUUUGAUGCCUUCUUGUCCCAUCCUGGUGUUGUAAACCUAUAUAUGUAACAGUAGUUUUGAGCCUGACAUACCUUCUUACUUGAAGAGAAAAAAAAAGAAAGUGUUCUGUUAGAUACCAUAUUUAGCUGACAACACUGAAAGUAGUAUUUAUUUUUGACUGGCUUCUUUAUUUUCACAUAAUGACUUAACCUUCUGCUGGAGGUGAUGCCAUGAACUUGGUAGAAGUUGUAUGUAAACUUGUCCCUAAAGAUAUCAAAAUGGCAAGACCCACUUUUUUUUUUUUUUUU